Molecule: ribosomal RNA, 467 nt
Filed under: uncultured bacterium
Lineage: Bacteria
Description: partial 16S ribosomal RNA
Rfam family: Bacterial small subunit ribosomal RNA
Source: RNAcentral
ACGAACGCUGGCGGCGUGCUUAACACAUGCAAGUCGAACGGAAAGGCCCUGCUUUUGUGGGGUGCUCGAGUGGCGAACGGGUGAGUAACACGUGAGUAACCUGCCCUUGACUUUGGGAUAACUUCAGGAAACUGGGGCUACUACCGGAUAGGAGCUCCUGCUGCCUGGUGGGGGUUGGAAAGUUUCGGCGGUUGGGGAUGGACUCGCGGCUUAUCAGCUUGUUGGUGGGGUAGUGGCUUACCAAGGCUUUGACGGGUAGCCGGCCUGAGAGGGUGACCGGCCACAUUGGGACUGAGAGACGGCCCAGACUCCUACGGGAGGCAGCAGUGGGGAAUAUUGCACAAUGGGCGGAAGCCUGAUGCAGCAACGCCGCGUGCGGGAUGACGGCCUUCGGGUUGUAAACCGCUUUCGCCUGUGACGAAGCGUGAGUGACGGUAAUGGGUAAAGAAGCACCGGCUAACUACGUG